GUUUCAGCAGCCGCGGUAAUACGAGGGGGGCAAGUGUUGUUCGGAAUCACUGGGCGUAAAGGGAGCGUAGGCGGAUGCUUAAGUUGGAUGUUUAAAACCGGGGCCCAACCUCGGAGCGGCAUCCAAAACUGGGCGUCUUGAAUGGAACAGAGGCUAGUGGAAUUGGGGGUGUAGCGGUGGAAUGCGUAGAGAUCCCCAAGAACACCAAUUGCGAAGGCAGCUAGCUGGGUUCACAUUGACGCUGAGGCUCGAAAGCAUGGGGAGCAAACAGGAUUAGAUACCCUCGUAGUCC
Molecule: ribosomal RNA, 292 nt
Filed under: uncultured bacterium
Lineage: Bacteria
Description: partial 16S ribosomal RNA
Rfam family: Bacterial small subunit ribosomal RNA
Source: RNAcentral